CAAGGAGACUUUGUGAGAGCUACACCUGUCCUGGAGGGGGGUGGUGGCUUGUGCACAAUAUAAAGGAGAAAAAGAGGUUUGCUCUGCCCCCUUUAUGCUCCAGCCGCUUUUGCUGCCUGCUAACUUGAAGUGUUUUCUCUUAGCUAUGACACCUUGCCUUGCAGCCAGCUGAUUAUGGACCGAAACCUCCACUAACAGUGUAUGCUUUGCAAUUCUUUGCUUGGCCUGCCCAAGAGCUUGGAAUAUGUCUGUUGGAUCCAUGAUGGACUAACAUUUGGAAAGCAAAACCUGGAGAUAUUGGAAACAUCUGCAGUCCUCUCCAGACAUCAACAGAUCUCAAAAGAUUUCAGCCGAUGUUGACAUUCAUGGAGCCCAGUCAAAAAGGAAGAUACAGACAUACCUUCCCUCAUCUCCCUCUGACAGAUUCCCUGCUUGGAUGCCUUCUUACCCACAGGGAACAAUUUCACUCCAAGGUCGUCCAGAAAGAUCAUCUUAUAUAUUUGUGUAAUAAAAAACGGGCAAUGUAUCAACAUGGGGGAAAUAAAAAAUGCAACCACCCUU
Molecule: long non-coding RNA, 561 nt
Organism: Cavia porcellus (domestic guinea pig)
Lineage: Eukaryota; Metazoa; Chordata; Mammalia; Rodentia; Caviidae
Exons: 3
Source: RefSeq, a predicted model, not a curated record